RNAcentral lists this ribosomal RNA (537 nucleotides) under Curvularia lunata. RNAcentral's name for it is "eukaryotic LSU rRNA". The stretch from base 172 to 325 matches the Rfam family "5.8S ribosomal RNA". The record is from RNAcentral. Lineage: Eukaryota; Fungi; Ascomycota; Dothideomycetes; Pleosporales; Pleosporaceae.
AAUCAUUAAACCGGGAAGUAUGAGGGCUGUCCGCAGCUGGAGUAUUUUAUUACCCUUGUCUUUUGCGCACUUGUUGUUUCCUGGGCGGGUUCGCUCGCCACCAGGACCACCAAAUAAACCUUUUUUAUGCAGUUGCAAUCAGCGUCAGUACAAACAAUGUAAAUCAUUUACAACUUUCAACAACGGAUCUCUUGGUUCUGGCAUCGAUGAAGAACGCAGCGAAAUGCGAUACGUAGUGUGAAUUGCAGAAUUCAGUGAAUCAUCGAAUCUUUGAACGCACAUUGCGCCCUUUGGUAUUCCAAAGGGCAUGCCUGUUCGAGCGUCAUUUGUACCCUCAAGCUUUGCUUGGUGUUGGGCGUUUUUGUCUUUGGUCGCCCAAAGACUCGCCUUAAAGUGAUUGGCAGCCGGCCUUUCUGGUUUCGCAGCGCAGCACAUUUUUGCGCUUGCCAUCAGCAAAACGGCAAUCCAUCAAGCCUCCUUCUCACGUUUGACCUCGGAUCAGGUAGGGAUACCCGCUGAACUUAAGCAUAUCAAUAA